Molecule: ribosomal RNA, 1401 nt
Filed under: Ceratosolen solmsi
Lineage: Eukaryota; Metazoa; Arthropoda; Insecta; Hymenoptera; Agaonidae
Description: 16S ribosomal RNA
Source: RNAcentral
UAAAUAAGUGUUUAUAUAAUUAAUAAAAGAUAAGAUAAAUAAUUUUGUAGGUGUAUUUAUAUAUAUAUAUAUUAAAUAAAAUAUUAUUAAUAUUAAAAGAUUUAGUAGUGAAAGAAAAAAUUAUAUUAAUUUAUAUUAUUAGUAUUGUAAAAGAAUUCAUUAUUUAAUUAAAAGAAGUAAUUAAAUUGUGUACCUUUUGUAUCAGGGUUUAUUAAAAUUAAAAAAUAUAUAUUUUUUUCUCGAAACUAACAGAUUUAAUUAAUUAUGUAAUUUAAUGUGGUAAUAUUAUAAAUAAUAGUUAAUUGGAAAUGAAAUGUUUGUCGAAGUUAGUAUAUCUAGUUAUUUUAUAAAUGAAUUUAAUUCAGGUUAUAUUUUUGACGAAGUUAAUUUAAUUAAUUUAAAUUUAAGUAUAACUAAGAAUUUAAGGGAUAAGCUUUAAAUUUUUUUUAAAAUGGAGUAAAUUAGAGUUUUAUAUAUAUAGAUUAAUUAAAAAUAUAAAAUUAUAUUUUUAGUAUUAAUUAUAAAAUAAAAUUUAAAUAAAUUAUAAAUAUAAUUUAUUAAAGAAUUUAGUAAUUUAUAAAAUUAAAAAUUUAAAUAAUUUAAAUUUUGAAAUAAUGAUAAAAUUAGUAAAAUAAUAAUUUAAAAUAGUAUUGAUUGUAUUGCUAGGUUAAAUUAAGGAAUUAGGCAAAAAUUUUAUUCGCCUGUUUAGUAAAAACAUGGUUUAUUGAAAAUAAUUUUAAAUCUAAUCUGCUUAAUGAUUAAUUAAAUAGCUGCAGUAUUUUGACUGUACAAAGGUAGCAAAAUCAAUUGGCUUUUUAUUGAAGUCGGGUAUGAAGGAUUGAACGAGAUAAAAACUGUCUCAAUUUAAUUGGUAGUUGAAUUUUAUUUUAAGUAAGAAUUCUUAAAUGUAGUUAAAAGACGAGAAGACCCUAUAGAAUUUUAUAAUUAGUACAAUAUUAUUAAUUUAUAUAUUUUUGAGAUAUAUUAUUAAUUAUUUAAUUGGGGAUAAUUUAAAAAUUUAAAAAAUUUUUUAAUCAAAAAAAUUAAAAAUUAUUAAUAAUUAAUUAUAUAUAUAUAUAUAUAUAUAUAUUUAAUCAUAGAUCUAUGAUUGUUUUAUUAAAAUCCAUUAUUAAUGAAAUUAAAUAAAAUUACCUUAGGGAUAACAGCGUAAUUUUUUUGGAGAGGAUAUUGAUAAAAAAGGUUGCGACCUCGAUGUUGAAUUAAGUUAAAUAGUUAAUAGAAAGAUUAAUUAAAUUAAGUCUGUUCGACUUUUAAAAACUUACAUGAUUUGAGUUUAAAACGGUGUGAGCCAGUUUGGAUUCUAUCUUUAAUUAAUUAAAAUAGUUUUGUACGAAAGGACUUGCUUUUUUUACAAUUGUAAAAAUUUAUGAAUAUAAAUUA